Molecule: ribosomal RNA, 1349 nt
Filed under: Chryseobacterium sp.
Lineage: Bacteria; Pseudomonadati; Bacteroidota; Flavobacteriia; Flavobacteriales; Weeksellaceae
Description: bacterial SSU rRNA
Rfam family: Bacterial small subunit ribosomal RNA
Source: RNAcentral
CUUUCGGGAUCUUGAGAGCGGCGUACGGGUGCGGAACACGUGUGCAACCUGCCUUUAUCUGGGGGAUAGCCUUUCGAAAGGAAGAUUAAUACCCCAUAAUAUACUGAAUGGCAUCAUUCGGUAUUGAAAACUCCGGUGGAUAGAGAUGGGCACGCGCAAGAUUAGAUAGUUGGUGAGGUAACGGCUCACCAAGUCUACGAUCUUUAGGGGGCCUGAGAGGGUGAUCCCCCACACUGGUACUGAGACACGGACCAGACUCCUACGGGAGGCAGCAGUGAGGAAUAUUGGACAAUGGGUGAGAGCCUGAUCCAGCCAUCCCGCGUGAAGGACGACGGCCCUAUGGGUUGUAAACUUCUUUUGUAUAGGGAUAAACCUACCCUCGUGAGGGUAGCUGAAGGUACUAUACGAAUAAGCACCGGCUAACUCCGUGCCAGCAGCCGCGGUAAUACGGAGGGUGCAAGCGUUAUCCGGAUUUAUUGGGUUUAAAGGGUCCGUAGGCGGAUCUGUAAGUCAGUGGUGAAAUCUCACAGCUUAACUGUGAAACUGCCAUUGAUACUGCAGGUCUUGAGUGUUGUUGAAGUAGCUGGAAUAAGUAGUGUAGCGGUGAAAUGCAUAGAUAUUACUUAGAACACCAAUUGCGAAGGCAGGUUACUAAGCAACAACUGACGCUGAUGGACGAAAGCGUGGGGAGCGAACAGGAUUAGAUACCCUGGUAGUCCACGCCGUAAACGAUGCUAACUCGUUUUUGGAAUGUAAGUUUCAGAGACUAAGCGAAAGUGAUAAGUUAGCCACCUGGGGAGUACGAACGCAAGUUUGAAACUCAAAGGAAUUGACGGGGGCCCGCACAAGCGGUGGAUUAUGUGGUUUAAUUCGAUGAUACGCGAGGAACCUUACCAAGGCUUAAAUGGGAAAUGACAGGUUUAGAAAUAGACUUUUCUUCGGACAUUUUUCAAGGUGCUGCAUGGUUGUCGUCAGCUCGUGCCGUGAGGUGUUAGGUUAAGUCCUGCAACGAGCGCAACCCCUGUCACUAGUUGCCAUCAUUAAGUUGGGGACUCUAGUGAGACUGCCUACGCAAGUAGAGAGGAAGGUGGGGAUGACGUCAAAUCAUCACGGCCCUUACGCCUUGGGCCACACACGUAAUACAAUGGCCGGUACAGAGGGCAGCUACACUGCGAAGUGAUGCAAAUCUCGAAAGCCGGUCUCAGUUCGGAUUGGAGUCUGCAACUCGACUCUAUGAAGCUGGAAUCGCUAGUAAUCGCGCAUCAGCCAUGGCGCGGUGAAUACGUUCCCGGGCCUUGUACACACCGCCCGUCAAGCCAUGGAAGUCUGGGGUACCUGAAGUCGGGACC